CCUACGGGAGGCUGCAGUGGGGAAUAUUGCACAAUGGGGGAAACCCUGAUGCAGCGACGCCGCGUGAGUGAAGAAGUAUUUCGGUAUGUAAAGCUCUAUCAGCAGGGAAGAAAAUGACGGUACCUGACUAAGAAGCCCCGGCUAACUACGUGCCAGCAGCCGCGGUAAUACGUAGGGGGCAAGCGUUAUCCGGAUUUACUGGGUGUAAAGGGAGCGUAGACGGCGGAACAAGUCAGAAGUGAAAACCCGGGGCUCAACCCUGGGAGUGCUUUUGAAACUGUGCGGCUAGAGUGCGGGAGGGGCAGGCGGAAUUCCUGGUGUAGCGGUGAAAUGCGUAGAUAUCAGGAGGAACACCGGCGGCGAAGGCGGCCUGCUGGACCGCGACUGACGUUGAGGCUCGAAAGCGUGGGGAGCGAACAGGAUUAGAUACCCGUGUAGUC
Molecule: ribosomal RNA, 440 nt
Filed under: uncultured bacterium
Lineage: Bacteria
Description: partial 16S ribosomal RNA
Rfam family: Bacterial small subunit ribosomal RNA
Source: RNAcentral